RNAcentral lists this ribosomal RNA (449 nucleotides) under uncultured prokaryote. RNAcentral describes it as "bacterial SSU rRNA". It matches the Rfam family "Bacterial small subunit ribosomal RNA", at positions 355 to 796 of the family's 1533-position model. The record is from RNAcentral.
UGGGGAAUAUUGGACAAUGGGGGCAACCCUGAUCCAGCAAUGCCGCGUGUGUGAAGAAGGCCUGCGGGUUGUAAAGCACUUUCAGUAGAGACGAAAAGCCUAAGGUUAAUACCCUUGAGUCUUGACUUAACCUACAGAAGAAGCACCGGCUAACUCCGUGCCAGCAGCCGCGGUAACACGGAGGGUGCGAGCGUUAAUCGGAAUUACUGGGCGUAAAGCGCGCGUAGGCGGUUUGGUCAGUCGGAUGUGAAAGCCCCGGGCUUAACCUGGGAAUUGCAUUCGAUACUGCCUGACUAGAGUAUGGGAGAGGGAAGUGGAAUUUCCGGUGUAGCGGUGAAAUGCGUAGAUAUCGGAAGGAACACCAGUGGCGAAGGCGACUUCCUGGCCCAAUACUGACGCUGAGGUGCGAAAGCGUGGGGAGCAAACAGGAUUAGAUACCCCCGUAGUCC